This 22-nucleotide non-coding RNA is filed under the name Arabidopsis thaliana (thale cress). Lineage: Eukaryota; Viridiplantae; Streptophyta; Magnoliopsida; Brassicales; Brassicaceae. The record is from RNAcentral.
UUAGAGCUAAAUAAACAUUCUC